GAUGAACGCUGGCGGCGUGCCUAAUACAUGCAAGUCGAGCGAACGGACGAGAAGCUUGCUUCUCUGAUGUUAGCGGCGGACGGGUGAGUAACACGUGGAUAACCUACCUAUAAGACUGGGAUAACUUCGGGAAACCGGAGCUAAUACCGGAUGAUAUUUUGAACCGCAUGGUUCAAAAGUGAAAGACGGUCUUGCUGUCACUUAUAGAUGGAUCCGCGCUGCAUUAGCUAGUUGGUAAGGUAACGGCUUACCAAGGCAACGUUGCAUAGCCGACCUGAGAGGGUGAUCGGCCACACUGGAACUGAGACACGGUCCAGACUCCUACGGGAGGCAGCAGUAGGGAAUCUUCCGCAAUGGGCGAAAGCCUGACGGAGCAACGCCGCGUGAGUGAUGAAGGUCUUCGGAUCGUAAAACUCUGUUAUUAGGGAAGAACAAAUGUGUAAGUAACUGUGCACAUCUUGACGGUACCUAAUCAGAAAGCCACGGCUAACUACGUG
Molecule: ribosomal RNA, 497 nt
Filed under: uncultured bacterium
Lineage: Bacteria
Description: partial 16S ribosomal RNA
Rfam family: Bacterial small subunit ribosomal RNA
Source: RNAcentral